GUGAGGAAUAUUGCGCAAUGGAGGCAACUCUGACGCAGCCAUGCCGCGUGCAGGAAGAAGGCGCUACGCGUUGUAAACUGCUUUUAACCGGGAAGAAACCCCAGGACGUGUCCUGGGUUGACGGUACCGGAGGAAUAAGCACCGGCUAACUUCGUGCCAGCAGCCGCGGUAAUACGAAGGGUGCAAGCGUUAUCCGGAUGCAUUGGGUUUAAAGGGUGCGUAGGCGGAGCGUUAAGUCAGUGGUGAAAUCCUGCAGCUUAACUGUAGACUUGCCAUUGAUACUGGCGCUCUUGAGUGCGCUUGAAGUGGGCGGAAUGUGCCGUGUAGCGGUGAAAUGCUUAGAUAUGGCACAGAACACCAAUUGCGAAGGCAGCUCACUAAGGCGAUACUGACGCUGAGGCACGAAAGCGUGGGGAUCGAACAGGAUUAGAAACCCGGGUAGUCC
RNAcentral lists this ribosomal RNA (445 nucleotides) under uncultured bacterium. RNAcentral's name for it is "partial 16S ribosomal RNA". It matches the Rfam family "Bacterial small subunit ribosomal RNA", at positions 354 to 796 of the family's 1533-position model. The record is from RNAcentral.